This 520-nucleotide ribosomal RNA is filed under the name uncultured Glomus. Its description in RNAcentral is "SSU rRNA". It matches the Rfam family "Eukaryotic small subunit ribosomal RNA", at positions 569 to 1090 of the family's 1831-position model. Lineage: Eukaryota; Fungi; Glomeromycota; Glomeromycetes; Glomerales; Glomeraceae. The record is from RNAcentral.
AGCAGCCGCGGUAAUUCCAGCUCCAAUAGCGUAUAUUAAAGUUGUUGCAGUUAAAAAGCUCGUAGUUGAAUUUCGGGGUUAGUAAGUUGGUCGUGCCACUGGUAUGUACUGGCUUUACUGAUUCCUCCUUCUUGUAGAACCGUAAUGCCAUUAAGUUGGUGUUGCGGGGAAACAGGACUGUUACUUUGAAAAAAUUAGAGUGUUUAAAGCAAGCUGACGCUUGAAUACAUUAGCAUGGAAUAAUGAAAUAGGACGUUCGAUCCUAUUUUGUUGGUUUCUAGGAUUGACGUAAUGAUUAAUAGGGAUAGUUGGGGGCAUUAGUAUUCAAUUGUCAGAGGUGAAAUUCUUGGAUUUAUUGAAGACUAACUACUGCGAAAGCAUUUGCCAAGGAUGUUUUCAUUAAUCAAGAACGAAAGUUAGGGGAUCGAAGACGAUCAGAUACCGUCGUAGUCUUAACCAUAAACUAUGCCGACUAGGGAUCGGAUGAUGUUAAUUUUAUAAUGACUCAUUCGGCGCCUUA